UCCUUCUUGACCAGCAAGAUGGGUAGAGGGCAUUCAAGACAAGUCCCACUGAGGCCGCCUGGGACAAAUGCCUCUGCGCCACAAGUCCCUCCGCGUGCCCCCCUCGGCAUGGCCCUGGAAACAUGGUUCAGGGUAAGGACCACACUCCCCUCCCACUCCCUUUGGGGCCCCGGGGCCAGCUCUGUUCUGGCACUGAGGGCCCCCUUCAUUGCUUCCCUCUACAGAAGGUCAGGACGAGGCGCUCGCUUCGCCGCGUGGGCCCCGAAAAUGUAGCUGUUCCUGUGGAUCCUCCAAGUCCUCCGGAGACACAAGGAACGCGCGCGGAGAAGCUCUCUCCCCGGACGCAGAUAAUUGAAGUGAGGCCAGCGUCCAAGUUUCUGGGGAGAGAGAAGCUCCCCUGGGAGGCUAGCAGCCUUCAGGCGGAGCGUAAGAACCAGACCUCAGAGAGUGCAGAGAGCAGCUUCCUCUCGGAGCAAAUCCUGACUUCACCAAAGGACAAACAACCCAUAGAGUUGGUGAGUGAAAGAAGGGGGCUAGAAAGGGAAGAGCUUGCCUUUCUCCUUCCUUCGGGAGAUGGGUUCUUGCUCAGAGCAUCCACUUCCCUCUUCUUUCUCCUCAACAGGGUUCAAAGGAAGUUGGGAUCCCUUCGGAGGUCCUGGAGGAGGG
This 666-nucleotide long non-coding RNA is filed under the name Anolis carolinensis (green anole). RNAcentral describes it as "lncRNA (ENSACAG00000034131.2)". Lineage: Eukaryota; Metazoa; Chordata; Lepidosauria; Squamata; Anolidae. The record is from RNAcentral.